UGUCGCGCCGCUAUAAUUAUUGCACUUUCCCUAUUGCUAUUCAUUCUUUCUUGUCUCCUCCUUUUUUUAGUAGCUACUAUCUCCCUGUUGGGGCAUAUUCCAAAGCCUCCUACUACUAUAUAUGUUCUAUUUUCUGUGACACGAUUGCUCAAUUUAUAAUUCAAAUCAAAACAUUCAACAUAUUCAAAUCAAAUCAAAAUUCAAUCAAAACAACAAUAUUAUUAGUGUAAAUAAUAGCUAGUGGGUUGUAUCGUACAUAACUCGACCUCAAGGUGAGCGGCAAAUUUUGCACCUAGCUGGACAGGACGCUGAUCGAUCGAAAAUCAUUUUCAAUUAAAUAAUUCUGGCCAUGAAAUGCUCUAAGAAUCUAUAAUAUUUAAUAAAAGACAAAAUUUAAAGAAUUACUGAUAGACGCAGGAUUGUUGCACUUUCAGCGUGUGCAGGGCAGAUGUUGUCAAGGAAGUGCUGCUGGCGCUGUUGAAGGACAAUUUAUUAUUAAAAAACUAAAAAAAAAUAGUACCCUUACAAUAUUCGAGGCAUGUAAAAACUGUGCAUGUGUCACAGCAGGCUGUGAAUACUUGUAACAAAAGUCAGAAAAUCUAGUUUAUACCGAUAUUUUGAUGGAGCAAAGAAUAUAUCCACAAUUGAACGUUGAUUUGAUUUGUUCGCUUUUCAAUUUUUUUGCUUGCCUCAAAAACACUGGUUAUAAAAGCUGCGGAAAUUUAUACAGCCAAAACAAUUCAAUGGUUUCAACACAACGUUGAGAAAUUUUCUAAAAUAAUCGGUAAACAAUAAAAAUAAAUGCUUGAUUGAGCAAAACACUUGUGCUCGGGAUUACAAAUUGCAGACGUAUAUAUAUAUCAAUCAAAAUGUGCGAUCUGUAUUGUAUAACAGGUAAAAAAAAGAAUGUUGUUUAUAAAAAGUAGAAAUAUACGCGUGUGCAGUAAAGAAUGAAUGUAUAUUUAAUAAUAAAGAAAAAAUAAAAAGAUCGACCAAAAAUUUUACAUUAGUUAUCAGACACCUUAAGUUGACGGUUUUUUUAUUAUUAUUGAAUUGCAUACACGUUAUACGUUUUUUACAUCUCCAUCGUUACAAGCUUUUCGCUUGUCGCACAUGUUUUUUUAAUUAUUUUUUUUGUUACUCGAGCGAAUUGAAUUCCAUUAAUCUAAUUUUUUUUCCUAAUUUAUGUUUUAUUGUUAAAAGAACUCCUCGUGUUCUUUUGGAAGGGAUACCACCGAACUCUGCAAAAUCCAAGAAAAUAAAAUAACGACGUAAAUUUUGCAUUCAAAACAAAUGAAUAAAGAUAUACACAGCAAUGAUUUAUAUUCCAGAUUAGAUGAAUUAGAAAUUUAAGCUUCCAACAAUUGCAUUUUAAUGAUUUCUACAGUGAAUGCAUUGUAUAGAUUCGAUUUCAGUAAUUCACAAUAUUAAAUCAAGAAUUUAAAACUUGAUACAGCUGCAACUGGUGAAAAAAUGAGAUUGGUAAAAUUAUGAUGUUUCCAAUUGAAUUUAACAAAUGUGAAAAUAAAGAUUGAAAAAAUG
This 1542-nucleotide long non-coding RNA is filed under the name Venturia canescens. RNAcentral's name for it is "uncharacterized LOC122407599, transcript variant X2". The record is from RNAcentral. Lineage: Eukaryota; Metazoa; Arthropoda; Insecta; Hymenoptera; Ichneumonidae.